Long non-coding RNA from Saccostrea cuccullata (small rock oyster), 439 nucleotides. RefSeq lists it as uncharacterized. The transcript has 3 exons. The record is from RefSeq and is a predicted model, not a curated record. NCBI's taxonomy places the organism in Eukaryota, Metazoa, Mollusca, Bivalvia, Ostreida, Ostreidae.
GCAACGUCUACUUUAGUUGGCAUGUCCGCUAUCGAGACUCUACUGUCAUGUUUUUGUUGUGGGGUUUAUUUAAAACUCUACAGGCAGAGAAAUUAUAAGAGUACACAGACAGAAAUGAGCUGGAAAGACGGAACAAAUGAUGACCCCGUCAUUAUGGGUGUCCCACAAGCCUCUGAGUCAUUCCAGGUCAUAAGCUCAAAGGAAACCAAGGACAUGGAAAAGGAUAAAAAGGGAAAGAAGUGAUGUGUUCAACAUUAGCUCGAACAAAUAAUCCAGGGAAGGGGUCAAGCAGAAAAUUGUAAAAAGUAUUAUUAAAACAUGCAACUGUAUAACUUUCCUUUUCAAUAUCAAUUUGCAUAGUUUGAAAUUAUAAUUCAAGUAUUAUGCAGAUAGUAUUUGUAUAGUAGCAUUAAAUUGAUGAAUAAAUAAAUAGCAAUCC